This is a ribosomal RNA of Piliocolobus tephrosceles (Ugandan red Colobus), 107 nucleotides long. Lineage: Eukaryota; Metazoa; Chordata; Mammalia; Primates; Cercopithecidae. The record is from Ensembl.
GUCUAUGGCCAUACCACCCUGAAUCUCGUCUGAUCUCAGAAGCUAAGCAGGCUUGGGCCUAGUUAGUACUUGGAUGGGAAAUAAUCAGAAGGAUCGAAAGAUAAAUG